GUUUCGGUAGCUAAGUGGUAUAGCGUGGGAUUGCAGUUUCAAGAACUAUUAUCCUAAGGUCACGCGUUCGAUCCGCGUUCGGAACU
Molecule: non-coding RNA, 86 nt
Organism: Xylariales sp. AK1849
Lineage: Eukaryota; Fungi; Ascomycota; Sordariomycetes; Xylariales
Source: the annotation of a GenBank genome assembly